AAGCGGAGGAAAAGAAACCAACAGGGAUUCCCCUAGUAACGGCGAGUGAAGCGGGAACAGCUCAAAUUUGAAAUCUGGCCCUUGGGUCCGAGUUGUAAUUUGCAGAGGAUGCUUUUGGUGCGGUGCCUUCCGAGUUCCCUGGAACGGGACGCCUUAGAGGGUGAGAGCCCCGUACGGUUGGCCACCAAGCCUGUGUAAAGCUCCUUCGACGAGUCGAGUAGUUUGGGAAUGCUGCUCAAAAUGGGAGGUAUAUUUCUUCUAAAGCUAAAUACUGGCCAGAGACCGAUAGCGCACAAGUAGAGUGAUCGAAAGAUGAAAAGCACUUUGAAAAGAGGGUUAAAUAGCACGUGAAAUUGUUGAAAGGGAAGGAUUUAUGACCAGACUUUUUCUGGGGGGAUCAUCCGGUGUUCUCACCGGUGCACUUCCCCCAGUUGAGGCCAGCAUCGGUUUCUGCCGGGGGAUAAAAGCUUUGGGAAUGUGGCUCCUUCGGGAGUGUUAUAGCCCGUUGCAUAAUACCCUGGCGGGGACCGAGGUUCGCGCAUUGCAAGGAUGCUGGCGUAAUGGUUAUUAAUCACCCGUCUUGAAACACGGACCAAGGAGUCGAACAUUUGUGCGAGUGUUUGGGUGUUAAACCCUCACGCGUAAUGAAAGUGAACGGAGGUGAGAGCCUUUAGGGGUGCAUCAUCGACCGAUCCUGAUGUCUUCGGAUGGAUUUGAGUAAGAGCAUAACUGUUCGGACCCGAAAGAUGGUGAACUAUGCGUGGAUAGGGUGAAGCCAGAGGAAACUCUGGUGGAGGCUCGCAGCGGUUCUGACGUGCAAAUCGAUCGUCAAAUCUGCGCAUGGGGGCGAAAGACUAAUCGAACCAUCUAGUAGCUGGUUA
RNAcentral lists this ribosomal RNA (881 nucleotides) under Apiospora arundinis. RNAcentral describes it as "Arthrinium arundinis partial large subunit ribosomal RNA". It matches the Rfam family "Eukaryotic large subunit ribosomal RNA", at positions 48 to 957 of the family's 3401-position model. The record is from RNAcentral. Lineage: Eukaryota; Fungi; Ascomycota; Sordariomycetes; Amphisphaeriales; Apiosporaceae.